GGUAACAAGCAUGGGCUGGGUGUGAGGCCUUGUUCCUUUUCAUGCUGUCUGCGGGCGCUCCCAUAUCGUGACUGCCACUGAAGCAGUCUCAGGCGCAGGCUGAAGUAAGCACAAAAUGAGUGCUGAAGGUUUAAUUGAAAAGGCUGCAGUUUGGGCAGACCAAUGCAGUGCUGUGAGGAGAAGGGAAGAAGCGCUGGUGGAUUAGACAAGGAUAGUAAUAAGACUACGCCUUGCUAUAUAAGACCCCAGUACAAGCCAGGAGAUGUCUGCAGGCUGGUUCCACUUUCAGCCCAGGUGUGAUGCAAAGAAUGACAAUGACUUACACGAAUAGAUGAACACAGAUCCAAGCUCUUGUCUGUACUCCACAAAAUGCAAGCCAGCUUCAACCUGGACCUGCAGCCAUGGCAGUGAGAUACUGUGCUGCUGUCUGGGUAUUCCCUUUUGUUUGUACAGGUAGUUUCCUCUUCUGCACCCAGUAUUCAUCCCACUGUGCUUUGAUUCUGAUUUAGCUAGGUAUUUCAUUUUCACUUUACUAUUGAUUAUAAAAAAAGCCCAGUAAUUGUUUCAACUCUGUUGGACAGUUAGCUUUAUCUAUAGAUCACAUAAUGAACAGAGUACAUGUAGUAAACAACAUGCUUCAUUUCCAGGUGGCUUUGAAUUAAAUCUUCCUGUAAUCAACUCAUUACAUUAAUUUUCUUGCAGAAUUGGUCCAGAGACCUCUUCUUUCCCUCCCCUCAGCUGUGCACAGCAGGACAUCCUAAAAGACUGCGGCCUGUGCCAUUGAUGCAAUUUUGUGCUUGUGGCCCUUGGACAGUGUUUUUCCUCUGGAGGAAUUAAAAGCUACAUACAGAGAUUAUCUCAGCACGUACCUAUAUGAACACAAGCAAAUAUUUGUGGUACCUAUAGAUACAAAAAUUUGAUCAAUACUAUGAAAAAUCCUGUUGCAUCAUCACAAACCUAAACAAGUGAGGUGCAAAGUCACAGCCUGAGUGCUAUAUAGAGUAGGUAAAUGGUUCCCUAUCCUUCUGUCCUAGGAGGAACAUCAGCAAGAGUGUAGGGAGCGUAUCACUGGAUGCAGCCCCCUUCACAACCUCUUCCCGCAGCUGUUGCUGCCUCUUCAAAAUCAUGGUCCGGAAGCACCAUUUGCAGAGCCCACUGAAGUUCUGUGGUUUGCUCAUUUGCACUCUGCUCUUCUGCAGUCACAGAACAAUGCUCCUGCCAGGCUGGCACUUCAGGAAAUUCUCCCUUCUUAUAGUGGUUUCUCUUUGUACAUGGAUGACGCUUUUUUUUCCUGGGUCAUUUCCCAUAUGCCCAUUUCUGGGUCAUAGAAUUUUUAUUUUCUGGGUGCCUGAUACAGAACUAGAUCAGCGCUGUCUCACUCACAAUGGUGUUACAGAACAAGCUUGACUGCAAGUCAGUAACUCAGCAAAUUGUCAACUCAGCUGCAUCUAAACAGAAAGCUCCAAUGGACUGGAUACUUCCCAUGACCAAUUGCUGUUAGUAGUUUGCAGCAUUUGCUGCAAUUUUAAACUGCAAAGGAUAAAUAGUAUGGUUUCUUGUCCUUCUUCACAGGAACAACUGAAUCGUGGCAUAAAUGACAAGCAGUCAUUUGUUAUGUAUUUGUAGGGAACUGAUGGACUUAAAUCUCAGCCUGCAACAUGAGGAAACCAGCUCUAGUUUGUGACCGUCUAGAUCCAUGACUCUUCUCUCAUCUUCAGUGCUGAGUGAGCUGGCAGAUUUUUGCUUCCCUCUUGAGAGCGAAGAACAGUCUGCCUUCUCACUGUCAGGAGAAGAAAUAUUGCUCUCCCCUUGCCCACCUACAGGUGCUACUAAGGGAGCUUUGCUGUUUUCUGAGACUUACUCAGUCAACUUGCCUUUCUGCUCAUGUUGUAACCUCCCUGCAUUAUAGUAUUCACUCUCCCAGGGCUCUGCUGUAAAUACACCAGGCCUAGGAUACAGAAAGGACACAUUUCUGGCAUAGAAUAAGAUAUUAAAACCCACAACUGAUUAUUUUAGAGAUUAAAUUACUGGAGCUCUUUGCAGUGUUGUAUAAGGAAUUAAUUGUGCACAUACACAGAUCUACCUGCUAUGAAAUAAGUAGACAAGGCAUACUUUCCCCAUGAGGAAAAGCUGCCACAUACGUACUUUCAUACUGCAGGCAACACCUCUCUGGAACUGCCCAACAAACCCUGAACCACCCAUAAGCAAAGCAGCCCGGCGGACAUAUGCAGGUCUCCUCCACCUGAGCUGGCACAGGCAGGAGAUCCAAAAGAAGCCUAGAAGGGACAGUACAGGGAAUGCAGCAGCAUUAACAAUAUGCAGAAAUAACUAAGAAGGAGAAAAAGAAAAGAGCCAGCCCAAACCUGAUAGAGAUCUUUAAUUUAAAAACCAAGUCAGUUUAUUCAUUGGGAAAGUGCAACAAAAUACCCCAGGGACAGUGCAUUCCACUCCAACAAUUAAAAUUGCAUUAAAAAGCAGAUAAGAAGGUCUGAGUCUUAAAGAAAACUGGCACAAAAGCUAGUGCUUUUUUUUG
This is a long non-coding RNA of Falco peregrinus (peregrine falcon), 2533 nucleotides long. RefSeq lists it as uncharacterized. Lineage: Eukaryota; Metazoa; Chordata; Aves; Falconiformes; Falconidae. The transcript has 4 exons. The record is from RefSeq and is a predicted model, not a curated record.